GAUGAACGCUGGCGGCGUGCCUAAUACAUGCAAGUCGAGCGAACAGAUAAUGAGCUUGCUCCUUUGACGUUAGCGGCGGACGGGUGAGUAACACGUGGAUAACCUACCUCUAUUACUGGGAUAACUUCGGGAAACCGGAGCUAAUACCGGAUAACAUAUUGAACCGCAUGGUUCAAUAGUGAAUGGCGGCUUUGCUGUCACUUAUAGAUGGUUCCGCGCCGUAUUAUCUAGUUGGUAAGGUAACGGCUUACCAAGGCAACGAUACGUAGCCGACCUGAGAGGGUGAUCGGCCACACUGGAACUGAGACACGGUCCAGACUCCUACGGGAGGCAGCAGUAGGGAAUCUUCCGCAAUGGGCGAAAGCCUGACGGAGCAACGCCGCGUGAGUGAUGAAGGUCUUCGGAUCGUAAAACUCUGUUAUUAGGGAAGAACAGAUGUGUAAGUAAAUGUGCACAUCUUGACGGUACCUGAUCAGAAAGCCACGGCUAACUACGUG
RNAcentral lists this ribosomal RNA (497 nucleotides) under uncultured bacterium. Its description in RNAcentral is "partial 16S ribosomal RNA". It matches the Rfam family "Bacterial small subunit ribosomal RNA", at positions 28 to 507 of the family's 1533-position model. The record is from RNAcentral.